GUUGUACUUAUUAUUAAUUGACGUUAAAAUAUAUACUUCAUUUUAUCAUCAAAGACUGAAAGAAGAAAGAGAGCAAUUUCUCAUUCUCGCAGAAUAAAGUUUCUCCUUAAAGUACUGAGAGCUAAGAGAAAAAAGAAUUACACGAUUUUUAAAACUAUUCUCGUCUGCGGAGGAGCCGUUAUCCCUUUAUCGCCAAUUGCACCACGCCCCGUAUAUAACGUCUUGCGCGAUUCCGCUUCGCAAUUCGGAUGCGGGCUUUAUGCAACUGCGGAGGAUAUCGGCUUGAUUCACUCGCGUGCGCCGACAGACGUGACGCAGUCCGCGUUCUUGCUCACAGAAGUCGCCACGAUGCUCGGACUCCACGCGUCGUCGCCGGGAGUCAACGUCGCCGGGGAUAUAUGCGCGAUUCGCCGCGGUAAAUCCGCGGCCGCGCCGAAAGCACCUUACUUUUGUAUUAAUGCUUAUACCGAGUGAAAGUGUAUCGCGCAUUCCGCAAAUGUGUACGAGCGUCCACACCGUCGUCGUUGCGUUCGUAGCAACGGGCGAAAUCACGCGCCCUCCUCACUGAUGUUUCGUUUGCCUCGGAGAGAGAGAAUAAGAUGUAAAAAAAAAAGAAAAUUGCACUCGAUGUUUCACGCGAAGAAUGUACGAAAUAGCUCUCUGAGCUCUAGUCUUAUAAAUUCCUCGAUUGUUCGUUUCUUUAUAAUUAAAAAAAAAAUCGAUAAUCCUUCGAUUACGAAAGAAGAAUAUAAAUCCUCUUAAAUCUCGUUCGUUAAUUCAUUCAGUCGUUCGUGAUGAAGACAAACGAUAAAAUGAUAAUGUAAACAGCAAAAAUAUGAAGUAGUCUGCGGAAAAAAAAAAGAAAAAGAAAACUGGUCUACGAGGCUCUUAAUCGUGAGAUCUGCAGCGAGAAGGGAGGAAGGAACGAACGGAGGACUAGGCCGAAUUAAUGCGUCGCAGAACUUAUUUUCGCACCUGUGUCUCCGGUGAAGAUAACGGCUGAUACGACGCCGAAGCGCGAUAGCGCCCGCGUCGUGCCGCAUUCCAGCGCGCGUCCCGACGGCGCGGCGCGGCGACGAAACAGGCCGAUCGCGCAUCUCGCUGGGUAGGCAAUUAAUUCGACGACAACGUGGCGCUUAAUCCCCAACCGGCGCGCGUUUACCAUAUCGUAAACAACUGCGUAAUAACUUCGAUCGUCGGCCGCUCGUCAGGAGCUUUAAACUAAAGGGGAAAAAAAAUGUUUUCUUUUUAAAUCGCCUCCUGCGGCUUUUGGAAUCGAGUCCGCGCGAUUAAACACGCAUUAAUCAAACUGAAAAAUCAAACCGCUGACGCGGACGAAGCUUCGACGUGUCUUCACCUACUACCGACUUUUCGCCAGGUGCUGCAAUUUUUCACGAACAAUCGAGUAUCACUUCGGAUUAUUAUGUCGAUAGCGCCGGGACACCCGGUACAUAUUCGCGGUAGCACCGUUACCUUAUCGGCCAGAUACAGCGAGAUUUAACGAAUUCCUGCCGGGGAAAGUUCUCGGUGCAUUUUGCGUUUAUUGGCACACACACGCGCGCGCGCGCGCGUGCAUAUGUAUAGGUACAUAUUUUAUGUGACUUAUAUCUGCGUUAAUAUAAGCGGUGUAUGCGCAUGCAGCGAAGACACUCGCUCGUGCAAAAUGUUUGCACAUGCUGCGCGUGAAUCAUGCCCGUUUCGGCGCAGAAUUACGACGCGGCAAUUAAAUAUAUAGAUUAUCGGUAUGCAAAACGAAACGGGCUGCUCUCUUUUUCCUUCUUCUUAUACGCGGAUAUCGUCUCAUUCUUCGAUCGUGUUCAAACAUAUCAAUCGCAUACAGAGAGCUGAUUUCAAAAGAAUCAUAAGAAAGUCGUAAGGAAUUUUAGAAUAAGCUUCACGAUAUCUCCCGUUCGAAAUUGGUUCGAGAAUCUACGUGCAAAAGGCGGGCCUGUUAAACAGGCCUGCGACCUGUGUGCGAGUGUUUUGUUUCAAUCACGAGAGACCGUCUCGUUCGAUCUAUUUCUGUCUCCUCCCGCCCAUUCCGGCUCUUAAUUGCGAGCCUAAUCGGCAAAUGUUCGAUCGAACGUAUAUAAAUAUAGUCUAUCGUUCAAAUUAAAUUACGUUUACGAGAGUGCUUGGCGACGCGCGAGUGCGGCGACAGGAGGAAAGUAUUAUGCGAAAGGAAAGUUGUGCUAUCGCUAUCGUUCGCCUGCGAAAAGUCUCCGCGCGAAUCGUGGAUUUGAAUUUUUAUUCGGCGUCUAGCGAACGUCUGACUCCGCGCAUAAGAUACGUAAGCGCGCGCGCGCGCGCGCGCGGUUCGCGAUGGUAGGCCGCCGCGAGAGAUGCUGAUAUGAAUGGAAUGCGAUGCUAUUAUCGGAGUGUACCUACCGAUAACUCGUUACGUCGCGCGGCUUCGCCGGGGAGAGAGAGAGAGAGAAGAGGGAGGAGGGGAAGAGAGUGCUCCACGGCGCGAACGAAGCAAAAGGUCGUAACUCCCGAAGAAUCGCGUUCGCGGAAAACGGUAUGUGAAUGCGCACGACGAGAGCGAGGAAUCUCCCAACGCGGAUGUUUUCCCAGAGUAUUUUUUCCGAGACGCGUCUGCCCUCGGUCUUCGACAAUCCCCUCCCGUUUUACCGAAGAUUUUUCGAAACACAUAUGUUUUGUUCAUAUCGAUUAAUAGUCUCUUUUCUCCCCCUUUUUACAAAAAUAUUGAUAUUUCUAUAAAUAAGAUAAAUAAAGAAUUCUGCUUGGAAUAAUGUAACUACCAAACGAGAAAUUUAUUAUUUCUUUAUAAUUAAAAAAAUCUUUUGCGCAAAUUAUAAUUACAUAGCUUUCAGUUAGUUAAAAUAGUAAACUUGCAUGGAUUAAUUAAUAAAACAAUAUUUGAAACAUUCUUUGUAAAUUCAUUCGCGCGCACACAAAAUGUUUUAUUCAUUUAAUGUACUUUGAUUGUUGUUCGAGGCAAAUUCUUGAAAUAAUUGAUACUUCACCUAUAGAGGAAUGUUUCAUCGAUUUGUCAAUGAUUCUUCUUCAUCGAUCUGCUGCAUUGUUAGAUACGAUUACACACCGACAAUUAUCUGUCACAUAAACACUUCAAUGUAACUCAUAUAGCCUGAUACACUGAUCGGGACAAUAGAAUACGACAGUCUAUGUAUAAUAAUUUUUGUCGGAUUAUUAUUUCUUCAACAUUAGAGCUGUCGUCACGGUAAGUUGUAACAUUUGCUCAACAAGCGCCAUGAUUUAUCACUCGCGAUGCGAAGCGAGAACGAGAAUGUUCUGAGAAAAUUCACUGAGAAUACACUGUGGGAACAGAAUUCAUCUGAAAAUAUUCCCUCGUGGGGAAAUAUACAACAUAUACGGUAUAUAUUUGGAAUAUCUAUAUGUAGAAAUAUUUUCUUCGAAAGAAUCAUAAAAUGUAUAUUUUAUAUCAAAGUAUAUUGUAUAUUUAUCAAUGUCUUUCAAUAUUCACUGACUUUCUAGUUGAAAUUGGAACUAAUGUUUUCUAAAAAUGGCAGUGUUUGAAAAAGACAAUUUUAUGCCCUCGAAAGAAAAUUACUAAAAUAACAUUAAGAAACUUAAAAAGUGUAAAUACAUUAAUAAUAAAGUAAAAUUAUUUAUGAGAAAAAAUCAAAAUGAUACUUCGCAAAAUAUCGAUUUCUCGGUAAACUUACGCGUUACUUAUAUCAUUAUAUACCUAUCGUUUAUAUCCCAAAAAUAAUUUAACGCACUGCCAUUUUCCUCUACAUCUGCAAAUACACGGCGCAUUCUCGGCAAGGACGUGAUUCACAAUCCACAUUAUCAAGAUUUUCUGAUAUAAGAUAUAUUUCCUCAUUCAAGAAGAUUGCCUUAUCACAUGCUUAUGGCGCGACAUAUUAUGAAAAAAAUCAACUAAUCGUCCUUAACGAUAAAGAUGCGGUCCUCAAUCGAUUUGCACAUUCCUUAUAUAUCUCUUGGUGAUGAUAAAAACAAGCAAGUUUUACAAAAAAAUUUUAUCUUUUAAUUGAUAUAAUUUAACAAUAACCUUUUUUUUUCUCUACAUGUAUCAAAUCUGAAAAUAGCCUACUAGAAAUUGCUCAUCACUUCUAAAUAGUUCAUCUUAUCUUUUGAUAACUUUAGUUACAUUCCAAGAAAUUUCACUUUCAGAUUUAUAUAAAGAAAUAUGAUUUUUUACGCAAAAACUUUUUCAAUCUAUUUAUUUCACUCUUUAUCUUCAUUGAACAUAACUACAAAGUAUUAAUUACGCUUACAUCAGCCAAUAGCAAAACAAUAUAUAUAUAUAUAUAUAUAUAUACAUACAAACAUCUCCUUUAUUAUAGUCUAAUAAUUUUUAUAAAUCGAUAUCUGUAAAAAUUUAAAAUAUGCACGUAAAAUUUUGCCUCCAUAUAAUAUUUAAACGCGGUCUUGGGGAAAGUAUCCGGUGAAGAGCUCCGAUGCUCAUAACCGUUCGGUACCGCGCACGAUUUGAGCGUCCGUGAUCGCACGGGGGAGAUUGGAAUCCCUUUCACGUCGAGAAUGCGUAUAACCCUUGGCGAGGGCCGCGGCUUUCGGAGAAAUCGGGAUCAGAUAUCCCGAGCAUUCCACCGGGAUGAUUGUCGGGUGCUAUAUUGAGUCCUCCCGCGAACUGCCUUAUCGCAGGGCCGCAAAAACGGUAAACGUCAAAACAUCGUCGCCGGGGGACUAUCUUCGACCCUGAGGUUGGCACGUUUGGCGCGGGGAUCGUCGUACAGUAGCCUCCUUAUUACCGGGAAUUUAACAUGAUAGCUGCGUCACGGUCGCACAGAAAUAGAGUCGUGAUAAACGACACCGUGGCGUCGCGAAACGACGUACGUAGGCAACUGCCGUCGGAUUUUUCGAAUACGGAAAUACCAUUCUUUGCUCUUCACGGAAGUAUUUACUUUCCCCACACACGCGUAAACUCUGAAAAGCCACGAUAUUUUAACAACUGAUUUUUUUAACAUAUUUUCGUCUACUAUCCCAGAAUUACAAUAAAAUUUUGAAAUCUCGUUUAAAAUUGAUUGGAAUGUCGUUUUGUAUCUUUGAUUUCCCCAUUCGAUCUCCCAAGGUUUAAUAAGUCUUCGUUUUCCCGAUCCGAAAGUUAUAGAUACCUCCGCAAAGUGAAAUACAGAUCCGAAGAAAUUACCAUUUAAAUUAUUUAAAAGGAGUCGAGUGAAAGAUCAAAGAUUUCAAUAGCGAUAACACGUUUGUGAAAGAUCGCAUUUCCCGAUUAUCUCCGUCACUGUAAGCAUAUUACUGUAUCGAUAAUGAUAUGAUAACCCGACGAUAAACAAUGUACGACAAACUCCGCAUCGUAUUACAAAGAUUUCAAGCCUCGGAUGUAGAACAAUAAGCCAUCGAGCGAGAGGAAACAAUGCGCGGUCUUACCGAGAUAAUCGUCACUUUGACGAGAGAAAGAGAAAAGAUGCGAUUGUCCCGGGCUCGAUUUAAUCGUCGCGCGAAGGUAAAGCGCCAUAGGGGCGGAACGCCUCCCCUAGAGGUAUUCGCGUAUUUUCGCGAAUCGCAAAGGGGACACGGUAGCCGGAUACGAAUUCGGAACGUGGCGGCGUUGGAUACUCCGUUAUCGCGGCUUAUAGCGGCUGAUAGUGUCUCGAUAAUCGCGCUUCGUGCAUUCCUGCCGCGAUAAGAUAGCAGCGCGGGGCCCAGUCGUGUGACUCAAUUUUCGCUCUCGCUUUACCGAGCCUGCCCGCGUGUACAUUGUGCGCGAAAAUGCGCUCGCCCGAUAGCCGGGAAAUAUGCACCACACGUGUGCACGCCCGGCAGAAAUGCUGAUGCUUUCGGAUAUACGAACGCCACACAGCGCCGUGCGCAAUAAACGUACACGCAUUGUACACACACACACACACACACACACACGCACACAUGCACACGCGCACACAUUUCCAAGAGCACGGCGCGCUUGAUCCGAUGAAGUCAGUUGGCAACAAAUUACGCCGAGGCAUAAACCGACCCAAUGAAUGCCAUCGCCAGGAUAACCAUCCUACUUGUGUGUUGCCAAUGAUAUAAUUUCUCUAGCCGGACGUCGAACUCCAGUCCGGUCGCACUCACCGCGCGCGGGACGGUGCUCUCUCUCUCUCUCUCUCUCUCUCUCUCUUUGUGGCCCACGCGGCAGGCGCGCAACGCAUCUAAGGUCAAUCCCCGGAGUUUAAACCGCUGAUAAAGAUUGAUACUCGGAACGUUAGCGGAGAUCUUCCCGUGUUGUUCGAAUGUAAAUUAGCGUUUGCUGAAUUCAGCUGUUUAUGAAAAUUUAUUAUCUUGAGCGAAAAUAUCGUGGACAUUGAUCUGCAUUGAUUAUUUCGACCGACUGAUAAAUCAACGUUGAUAAUUAAUAUCAAUAAUAUUAAGUAAAUGCUGUACAACCACUGUGUGAUGUUUCUGAGUCAUGUAACACGUGCUAUGUAGAUGCAUGGAAUAAUCUUUAAUUAUUCCGCGCGGAAAGAUCUGCCACUUGCGGACUUGAAAAGUAUUUUUAAAAAAAGUUAAAAACCUGUAAAAUCCAGAAACCUUUUAAUCCUGUGGAGGCAUUCGAGUUUAACGGAAGCGGAGUAAACGAACUCUAAACUGGCAAAAGCUCGCUGCUACCGCGAACUUCCCGAUGACUUGACUCGGUAAAAGCAAAAAGGACUUCAGGAGUCUCCGUCUUCCUUUUGCAUAUUUAACGAGACCACGCUCACGUUCCAAAAAUUCAAACUGCCGAGAGAGCAUGACGCGCUAUAAAGAGACGCAGAGACAGAGGCGCAUCAAAGAGAGUUUGAGAAAGCAAGAGAGAAAGAGAAAGACAAGAAGGCAGAGAGGGAGAGAGAGAGAAGCGUGAAAUUCCGUCGGAUCUCUAAAAAUAGUUGCUUACAAAAAGGAAGAAUAACACGAAUACAUAUAUCUGGUCUUUGGAUAAAAGCGUAGGCCUAUUUAUGUAUCGCCCGGUAGAGAUGGAAUCCCGGUCCCUUCGUAUGGUCGUUAACAUUGUUUGUCCCUGGAGGAAGGAGAGCCAUAGGAAUGUGAAAAGCCACGCCGGCGCAAAUGGCCGAUCUCUUCGCGGUUAAUUUCGAGUCCGAAUCCCUCGCGGAACGUUAAAAUGGCAAAACAAUCUGGGAAUUUCGCGCGGUAUUCUAAACAAAAAAAAAAAAAGGAAGAGGCAACUUGGAAAUAAUCGCACCGACGCGCGAGAAGGUAACCCUCGCUGUUUUGUAAGUAAAACGCACAGGCACGUCCACAUCGAAUAAUUAAUGAUGCACUUUCUCAUCUCACGUGAGUUGUUAAAUCAUAGUUGUUAAAUCAAACUCUUACAAUGCAACGUGGAAAACGGCAUUGAAUAUUAAUCACAAAUUGGAUAAAAGUGUUACUUAACUUUGUAACUUUUAAUAAAUCGAUAUAAAAAGUGAGUGUAAAAUUUUUUUGUUUGGAUAUGAAACUUUGGAAAAAAUACAGAAACUUCCAAUUCUUCAAAAAGUGUAAUUAUUUGUUCAUAUGAAAACGAGUGAUUCUCAAUAAAAGAUAAAUUAAGAACAAAUUAAAUGUCACGAAAAAACGACGCUCAAUUCUGUUCACCAAAUCUACUAUAUUUUUUUCAAAUAAGUAAUUUAUAAUUUUUUAAUAAAGCAUUUGUACGUUUAGACAUAAAUUUAAAAUAAAAAUGAAAUACUUAGCUAAUUUUGACAAAAUUUUCACUUUUCACGAAAGAUGAAUGUUAUCAAUAAUUCUAAGUCACUAGUGUUCGAAAUCAACUCGAUGCUGUUCGCAGGAAAAUUGACGGUCUCGGUCGCACUACCGCACAAAAUUUCUCUUCAUCACAAUUUUUCCUUUUAUGAGGAUAAGAAGAGAGAUUUUUCUUAUUUUCGAAGAUUAUUAUAAAAUUUUUAUUCGUUCAAAUAAAAAGUAGUAGACACGAACUCUAAUCUCUAUAUGAAUAGAAUAUAUAAUUUAGUAAGUCUCAGAGCGCAGAGAAGGAGAAAAGCGUGAUAAGAACAGAACAGUGCUUUACGGAUGGUAGAUACCGAUGAACAAGUCGAAUUCUUUCCGCCCCGGCAGCACGUGGGAAUUUCGUGGCAUGCCCUCGGUUCACCUCCUGGGAAAGACAAAAAUAAUUGUGGAAGGACGGGAAGCCGAGGGAACGUGCUGAAAAAGAUAGCACAAGCAUCGUGACACAGACACGAGCGAACUCGAAGCGGAACGAGCGGCUGCAUCUGAUUUCGAAAAAGGGAAAAUCGUUUGAAAUGUCUAAAAAAAUUGUUAUAGCUUUUAAGAAAGUAGGAAAAAAAUGCAAAGGAACAAAAGCGAUCAAUUUGGUAGUUUCAGUGACUAUCGAGUUUCGAUUUCAUGUCGAUAUAAUUUCGCUGAGUCCGGUUUUGAUAUGCUAAAAAUAUGCGAAAAAGGAACUCUUCAAAUUUCGUGUUUUACUUGUUUGCGAAUAAGCUCAUUAUCGGAUGCUUUCGGUAUCUGUAAUAAAUAUCAAUUCAGCAAAAUUGUAUCGGCAUUUAAUCUUUGUUUACUUUAUUCAAAAUUAGUCGAACAACAAAACAAGAUAAAAAAUGCGACAUUUUCAAUAUAAAAUGCCCAGAGUCUGUCAUGUUCAUGACAGUGUGGGCGAGUUUUUUUUUUUCAACGGUAAUCCUCAGGAAAAUAUUUUCAGUGUGUUGAAUAUACCGAUACUAAAGCUAUUCAGAGAGUUUUCAACAUUAUAGGAUUUAAAAAGUACGUUUUUUCCGGGAGCAUAUUUUUGAACAGAAAAGUUAAAAAGAAACCGUUGCGGAACAUCUGUAUGUCGAAAUAUUCGACAGCGGAAAUAAAGGAUCGCUGGCAUCCCCGGCGGCGCGAAAGGAGCAUCAUCUCGGCGAGUUUGGAGAAGCGGCGGACGGUAGCGUAUCCGCUCAUUCUGGCGCGAUCGUACGCCCUCGGCAAUCCUCGUGGCUCUCCGUGGCGUCACUUCGUGGACCGCCUGGGGGCCCUACGCGAGCGUAACACCGGUAGCUACCAUGCCAAAAGGGUCCCAUGGUGCGAGUUACGCGAGACCGGGAGAAAGAGAGACAAGCGGAAAAAUAAAAGAGCGAAGAAAGAGAGAGAGAGGAGAAGAGGGGAAGAAGGAACCUGCGGAGGACGCGUCGUGAGGGAGGGAUAGGACGAGAAGGGAGAGGGGGAGCAGAGGGGAAAGAAAGGGCGAAAUAUCCGAGGAGAAGGGGGGGGGGGACCGAAACGACAGGGACUCAGGGGGGAACCGGCAUCUUUUCUUCGCGAUGUAUUGACGCUCGAAAGAACGGCGUUAAGGCCCCUCUCAACCUCCCUACCGUCACGACGCCACGUACUACGUCGAUUCCCUCCCUGCCCUUCUCCUCCGCCAACCUCGACGCGGAGUCGCUCUGGGCCCAACGGCGUGGAGAAGGUCGAGAGGGGAGUCAGCUCAGCCAGCAGCAGCAGCAGUGGCGGCAGCGGCGGCGGUGGCGGCGGUGGAGGAGAGCAGGAGAGGGCGGAUUCGAGAGGACGGGAGACAUUCCAAUCUCUCGUGGCAAGUCUGCUUGCCUGCCUGGCUUGCCUGCCUGUUCCCUCGCUCGCCUGUCUACUCGCCGCUUGCCAAGUCACCGUCCUAAAGCCGGCCCACGCUAUACAACGAGUGGCACACGGACGAUCGUAACCGUAUAGAAUCUCUUGGGCUAUCAGGCCGAUCGAUUUUUAUUUCGGGAUAAACGAUGAAUCGUACGAUCGAGGGGAAUCUGCCAGAAAUGGUCCGAAAUUGGAAGCGUGAUGCGCACCGAGAUGACUCAUGAGAGACUAGUAGCAUAAUUAAGUUUCACAAUUGAUUCAGCGACAUUCCCUUGCGUUUUUUGAACUUGAAGUAAAACGAAUACAUAUUUAUAUAUUUUGAAGAGAGAAAGAUGAAGAGUACAACUAAAAACAAGAUAGGUAUUUAAACAUCGGAUUAAGUCUUUCGAGGGUUAAAAGUUCGGUAUAUUUUUUAUUAAUCCGUUGACAAUGCAAAUGGAAAAUGUGAUAGAAAAGCCUUUUGCCUCGAGAUGAUUCGUUCCGUCAAUAAUGAAAAACUUUGUACUUGUAUACGAGUAUAAAUAAUGCAUUCUUUCGUGGUAGUAGCAUCACAACGAUCGCACACUUGACAAGUUGCGACGCAGAAAUCGAAUUGGAACGCGGCUGCAUAGAUGUACAUCUCCAGGUUGCACGCUUUCAAUACGCGAGAAAAAGCGAGACGGGAGACGUACAAUGCAGCAUAGCAUACGCCGUCGUGCGCCGCAGAGAUCCAGUUACAAAGAACGAAUCUGCUUUCACAUUUAUCGAAUUCCAACGCCGUUCGUUCUUUCGUUCGUUCUGCAUACCGCACUACCGAGAAUCCGUCCCGAGUGAUUUUGCAAAGAGCCGAGGCCAGUUGUUGCGACAUUGUUGCCCACAUGGUCAACGGCGACGAAAGGACGAUUAUACGUGUCCCAAAGCGAAUGAAGUGUCCUUCCCAUUAAGCAAUUCGAGUCGGUCUUGGAGCGAGAUACCACAAUAAGUUUCGAGAGAAUUGUAACAAAUUAAGAGAAGCCUUUUUACAAUUUCAUCUUCAAGAAAUUGGAUUGAUGACAGUUACUAUUCGUUCAAACGGAGCGUAUUACAUUAAAAUUUUAAUUGAAAAUUAGCUGCACAAAGAUGACGUGUUAAAGUUAUGACGAUAAUAACUAAAAAAUAAUUCACUUAAUUUUUUUCAUAGAAAAUGUUCAUUUUAUACAUUCGUGUUCUGCUUACCAAAAUGCAUCUUGAUAUUUUGUGCGAAUAAAAAUUGUUUAAUUUUUAUGUCAAAAUUAAAGAACAGUAUCAGAAAGAAUGUUUUAUCGGGAUAAAUAAAUUAUGUAUUUUAAUUGAAUAAAUCAUUGUUGCGUGCCUAAAUGUGUUCUUUUUAUAUUCUCCUUAAUAAAAUUUUGUAUGGAAUCUCCUCAUUUAUUUUUUCAUCAGUUUUUAUUUAUGCAGAUAACGAUAUGUAAUGAUAUUCAUCUACCUAAUACAUAUUCAUCGUUCGAAAUGCUAUGUAACAAAAAUUUCAUCGUCUUCGGGCACUAAAGAAAACACGACAUAUGUAUAAAAUGGAAUGUAAUUAAUUAAUGGCAAUCCAUUGGCGAUUAGGCGGCGCCAACAGAAAUCGAUACAGCGACCGGUCGUGGAUGACGAUGUCAACGACUUCAAAAUAUCGAAUUCAAACCGUUAUGAGAGGCGCAUAUAAAUAUAUGUACAUAUACAUAAAUGCAAUAUAUACACUUGUAAACACUCUAUCGAAUUACGAUGAGUACAUUAUGCGUCGUACAUCAUGUUAAAAUUACAUUCUUAUCUAAUGGGACCUCGUAUUAUAUUUGUAAUUGAAAAAUAUGCAUUUGAAUAAAAAAAUAGACUAAUAACGUGACAUUAUGACAAUAUCACUUAUCGAAGCAAAUAAUCGUCUUUUUUAAUCGUUUCUUUUUUUCGCAUCGCUGAAAGGAAGAAACAGACGCUCAAGUUAGGAAACAUCCCAUAUACGUAGCUUUCCUUAAAUUUCACGCGCAGCGGUCGCCCGUUUAAUCCUCGGAUAAUCUCGGAAAUGCAAUUAUUUGCAUUCAAUACACCCAAUGCGAUACGUUACCGGGAUCAACGGGCCAGAAGACGUCACACCUAUCAGUUGCGUUCUGAAAGCGACAGGUCAACCAGCGAGCCGGUUCCUAUUUGCAGAGGAGAGUCACCGCGACGUUUCCCGUUUCGUUGGUCCCAGAAACCCCGCUCGUGGAGCGGAUCAUUGGGCCUGGUCAGUGACGAGGGAACGCGUGACGUGGCUGUCAACCCGAAACCCCGCGAUCAACCCUCUUGGGUUGUCCGGGCGCGCAUCGUCGAGACGGACGAUUUCGAGAACCGAUAGAAUGCCGAGCGAGACGACAAGGCUGGCCGUCGACUUCUUCUACCUGCUGCACUUUAAACUCACACCCGAGGUCCCUGACGUAUGGGGGGAGAGGGGGGGGGGGCGAUAUCGAAUUCGACCAAACACACACAACCUACACGUCGGUCAGAGUUUGAUCGUAACAACGAUGACUGCAUACCACGAAAGAUAGUAGAGGAGACAACGAACUCUCAGCCAGCGAUUUUCUGUUUGUCUCGGGCUCUCUUAAAGCAUCUAAAUUUAAAUAGGGAUGAUAAAAGGUAACAAUUUAUCACGCGUCGCGGUUGGCAAUCUGUGCGACUUGUGUUUGAACGUGCCUCGGAAUUUUUUUGCCAGAAAUAAAAGGUUUAAAUUGGGAAACACAUUGGCACAAGGGCGAUUUACGCUGGCAGUCGCGUCGGCGACGACGACGGCGACGGCGGCGGUGGUGGCGACCGGACGGUCGGGGAGGCGGGAGACACAAGUUGAAACAUCAACCGGGGAACGAGUCCCCGGGCGGCGGGGAAAAAACGUAUGCGACGCGCGCCGAAAGAAUGAAAUUCCUCGAUCGAUCCCGUCGAUCGAUCGAGCGGACGGACGGAAAGGAACGAAAUGAGGCGAGCGGCGGAGGAACGAACGAACGGAGAGGGAACGAAGAAAGUCCGGGCACCUGCGCUUUCGAACGAGAUCCGCGAUAUGAUUUACGGCAUCGAGGCAUUCGCAGUUUCCUCCGGCGGUGUCAUAAUCGGUUUUGUAUCUGUCCGCGCGAGAGAGCCGACGAGCGAUACGGGCCGAGCGGGCAAAAAUAAAUGGCAAUUAACAUUCCUCUGGCAUCUCGCUGCCUCUCGACGGGGCAUCACGCAGGCCGAGAAAGAAAGAGAGAAGGAGGGAGGGAAGCAAGAGAGAGAGAGAGAGAGAAAGAGAGAGAGAAAUGGAGGGGAGGGGAUUGAGAAACAGAGAGGAGCGGGACGCUGAGCUGCUCCAGGGGCCUCAGGACCGGGGCCCGUAGCAUGCAGCGGGGUGGGGGUGUAAGAAACGGGGCCCGCGCGCCUCUAGGAGGCCGGCAAAGCUCAGGCAAAGCGCGGCCCGUCCGUCCGUCCAUCCGAAAAAUGUCAGAUUCGAGCCAGGGACGCUCUUGCGUUACGGCGCACGAAAUUCGUGGAAUUCCUGGACCGCGAGGUCGGGCCCCGGAGACUUUCGAGUCUUUCUUUCUCUCUCAACGGAUUACGGGGGACGCUGACGAUACCGCGACACUAGCCGAGUGUAUACGGAUACUUUCACCUCGAAAUCCCGAAUUACUUCUCAGCAUCGGCAUUAUCGAAAGAGAUAGUUCCUGACAUUUCCCUUUUUCUUUCCUAAAGGCAGAGAAUUAAUAAGAUUUUCUCUCAUAGCCAUAUUUCAACUUACUUCGUCAAAUAUCGUUACGUCAAUUACUCUGCUUGUCGUUAAGUGUCAAAAGGAAACUUGCGCCACUCAGGUGACACUGAUAUUUUUUUCUCGCGCAUUAAAGGUUGUAAAUUUCUUUUUGGUUUUUCCGUAAAUCUUGAGAUGCCCGCGAGGAUGCUGUGGAAAUUGCGGAUUGAGACACGUUACGUUCCGUACACGGAACGAACGCGAGAUUUAUGGUUUGGUAAUUAUUCAGCACUCGAUGAUAGGUUUUAUUAAUCAUUCAUCGCACUUAGACGCGAUACCGCUAGAUGCUAAAAUGCUAUUAUCCCGUAGAACGAUUAGUUCCAGGAACAAACAGUCGCUUAAUCCAAACGAUAGAUAUACGAGCAAUAAUAGAUAUUUACGUUUCCGCUCAUUGUCGGUAUUCUUAAUGCUGUAUAAUUUUAAACGCGCUCCUUUUUUGAAAUGCUAAUUGCAACGGUAACGAUACGAAAUGGACAAAUCGAUUGUAGAGUAUGUGGCGUAACUCUAAAAAGAAGCGAAAAAAAAGGUAAACUCCUUCAAUCAAGGUUUUAAUCGUGGCGUCUCCGGCAAUUCUUAUCUAAACUUUCGAAAUUCCUGAAGAUUACGUCACAAUCCUCUCACGAUCAUGCCAUGGCCACUACAUCGUCGGAACGCGGAAAGUCGUUUGUGAAUUAAAUUCUAUUUACAUUUCAAUGCAUACAAUAGUUUUUCCAUAUGACAAUUUGAUAUAUAUCGACAGAAUAAAUCAUAGAAAAUAUACCCAUAAAUUAUGCAAACCAAGUAUCACUUUUCGAUAUCACUUUUCGCGGCAAGCGAGAGAAAGAGUGGAAAAAUAUUUCAUUUCUUAAAUUUGGAAAACACUACAAAUCGUAAAUUCUCAAAAUUCUGACGAUGUUAUGAAGGAGAGGAAUAUAAAUUGCUAAAUAUAAGAGUUGCGCAAAAUGUGUCCCGUCGUUCCCGUUCCGAUCAUAAAUUCAAUGACGCUAUGUUGACUCAGAUAUCAUUGAUUUAUUAUGCUGCACAAAAGUAUCACGUGCAGAUUCGCCUGACAUAUACGCGUUUCGCAUGAGAGCAAUUUCAAUGUUACGUGCAAAUCGGCUCAAAUAUAUCGACGACAAACAUUCGAAUCAUCUAUACGUCCGUGCAAUUCCUUCAGAAUCUCUAAAGUGUUGUUUGACUUUAUAUAACAUCGAAGGAAUACAAGAUACAACAUAUGGUAUAUAUUUAUAGCAUAGCAAAUAUAUACAAUAAGAAAGAUAAAAUAUAAAAUGCUGCGUUCAUCUGAACCUCAAUGUUUAAAUAAUUCUUGAAAGAGUACGUGCACUAUAAUACGCGUUGAAUUUCAGAGACUCAGGUGGUUCAGGAAGUUGCGUAUAACUACAUAAUAAUCAUGAUAAAUAUAUAGAUUUUCAGUAACAGUUACCGGUUGGCGGAUAAGCGGACAGAACGUUAUUUGCACCAUUGCAAGGGAAAAUUUUCCAUUGUACGCAUCGCGGCGCCAAGUCGCGAUGAGACGCUACUGCCCCACGGCUUAUCCGUCGCUGGACGAGCGCGGGGAGAGCCUCGGCACGAUGCCGGGAGAAAAGCCGAGUGAGAGAGAAAGAGAGAAGAGAACGGACGGCGGAGAGGGCUAUUUGCAUCGGAAUGCAAGCCCCGGCUCUCCGCGUUACGCUCGCGCGCUCGCGCGCGCGCGCGCGCGAGAGUGUGCACGCACGCAAGUGCGUGCGACGCGUAUGUAUGCGUGAAACUCCCAAGGAAGGAAACCGCGAAGUUCCUCCGAUACCUCCGAGUACUUCACGUGAAACUACUCCCAUGGCGGCAUGAUUUCGCGUGCGAAUAAACUUCCGCGGAAAGUUCUGCCGCGCGUUUUCCGAAGAACGAAAAUAUUCAUCAUUGGAGAUCCAUAUUGAUAAAAGAGUAAAAAGGAGGAAAAGGGAAAUCUGCAAUUUUUAUCCCGAAUUUUGAGAAACAUGGAAGGAGAAAAAUUUCUGUUGUAUCGCAGUUGUGUAUCUUUGAUGGGAACGCUGCUCGGAAUAUUUCAAGAAUUUUAAGAAUGUUAAGAACCCACACAUUAUCUCUUGGCAGCAAUCUGGGUUUGGAUAUCUUAUUUCCCACGCAUACAUACGCACGCGAGGAUUAUACCGCGUUGCUUGUUAAUUUGUGACGCGAAAGGAUGUGUAUCCACCGCCGAGGACUAUUCCUGCGCAAACAUGUUUACCCCAAUAAAUGUGUUUACGCCCGAAAUGCGGUGAAUUUUAUAGAUGCUAGAAGCUCAAUAAACUGGAUUAAUAGAUCCAAUGACGCAAGCGAUAGGUUAUCGAGUAUUGUAUUUAUACGGUCACCGGUCUCAAGUUACUUAAUCCUACGAUUACGAAAGCGAGUCCUAAAAAAAAAUUGCGGUGAAUAUUUAAGGUGAAUCCUAAGCAACCUGAAAUUUUUAAAUUUCAAGUUUCUAAAAUAAAUGUAAUUAAUUUUGAAAAAGGAAAUAAAAUGUAAUAUAAAAAUUUCCGAAAAAUGAAUCACAAAUUGGAUAAAAUUGUUAUUUGACAUAAAUUAUAAUUGUAAAAAAAUCAUUAAAGUAUUUAUUAUUUACUGUAAGUACAAAUUUAAAAAAAUUAUUUGUUUAAAAUAAAAUUUCAGAUUUGUAUCUUUCGAAACUGAACUUUCUUCACGAAAAGAGGUAGGCGCAGUGUGCGUGAAUGUGAGAAACAGUUUAGUCUACAAACUUUGCCGCGUGGUUGCACAGCGUGAAAUUCGCCCAAUUUAGAAGGACAAAUAUGCCUUAUCCGGUAUAGAAAGAGGCGAUUUAAUUAUUUUUUCUAUAUGUAUACCAAAAAUUUUUUUAAUGCAAAGAUUACAAUGCAAUUCUUUCUAAAGAUUGCCUAUUGAAAGUUUAAAAAGUUAGAACAAUGCAUAUUAGUGUGUAUUUUCUUUAUUUUUCCCUUAUUUUAAACGUUGCCCUUAUUUAAUCUACAUUAAAAAUUGAAACAACUUUGGUUCAGAAAUUUAAUUAUUUAUUAACACUGAUCGAUUUGUAUUUAUGUUAAAACGUAGAAUACCGAAGUAAUUGAAAUUUUGUGAUACUCGAGCAUUUCAAAAAAGAUUCGAUUUUAAAAUAUGAUUUUAAUUUCAAUAUUUUUGACUUAUUUAAAAUAAAUUAUCAUUUUUUAAUUUUUCUUCUGAGUAUCUUGUUAGAAAUCGCAUUUGGGACUCUCUUUCGAAAUUCUUUUUUUUAUAUAUAUCUCCUUAAAAUAGUUUUCAAAUUACGAGUUUCUUUUUUCCCUUCCUCUGGAUAAUAUUCUCAUAAGUUGAGAUUUGCUGCAUUAAUUUUCUAGCUCAAGUAGACUUGCCAGUGGGUUUUAGUUUAGUCGUCUAAUAUUGUGCUCUUUUAAGAUCUCGAUCUCUUUAUCAUUGUUAACAAUGAAUGUUUUCGCUUGAGAAGGAAGUAUUCUCUCUAAGCAGAGCUUAUGAAUAAUAAGCUACCUGCUUGUCAGCUUGUAUUUCCUACACACAACAUAGCUAACCAUUAUUUUCCACUAAGGGGAUUCCAUGAAUUUCCUAGUUUAUUUUUCUUGUCUGCUUCCUGAUUUUUUCUCCUUUGUUUUUUCCUGUCAUAAUAAAAGUUACGCACUUUUUUUAUUUCAAAAAAAAAAAAA
RNAcentral lists this long non-coding RNA (16941 nucleotides) under Monomorium pharaonis (pharaoh ant). Its description in RNAcentral is "uncharacterized LOC118645289". Lineage: Eukaryota; Metazoa; Arthropoda; Insecta; Hymenoptera; Formicidae. The record is from RNAcentral.